This 139-nucleotide small RNA is filed under the name Streptomyces sp. DSM 15324. Its description in RNAcentral is "Streptomyces-metH RNA". It matches the Rfam family "Streptomyces-metH RNA". The record is from Rfam by way of RNAcentral. Lineage: Bacteria; Bacillati; Actinomycetota; Actinomycetes; Kitasatosporales; Streptomycetaceae.
CCCGUCCACCCCGUGGACGCCCUGACCAUAAGGCCCGGACCCGGCUACCCUGACGGCGUGCGCACUCCCCGGGAAGCGGCACCGCGUCCCGGGGUCACGCAAAGCCGACAGCCGUCGCACCCGAGGGAGCCCUUCCAUG